This 655-nucleotide long non-coding RNA is filed under the name Malus domestica (apple). RNAcentral describes it as "long non-coding RNA (MDOM_LNC019088)". Lineage: Eukaryota; Viridiplantae; Streptophyta; Magnoliopsida; Rosales; Rosaceae. The record is from RNAcentral.
AAAUCCAAUUCUCAUUUAAAGAGACAAAACAAUUUCGUUCUCAACCUAAUUUGGGCCAUAAAGCAAUUAACCUCAACUUUUGGGCUAUAUUGCAAAACUUUUGGGGUCACUUUGUAAAGACACAAAAGUCCACUACUUCAUGUAAUUACAAUAGAACCCAAAAUUUAAUCAAUGCAAAAACUUCAUCAAAGGAGCAAAACAAUUUGUCCUUUAGCGUUUUUGGACCUAAACGUAAAAACGUAAACUUUUGGGCCAAAGUGCAAAUACACAAAAGUAUCAAAACUUUAUGUAAUUGCAUAAAAGACCCAAAAGUACUCCCAUUGAGGGAGGGCCGGUUUUUAGAGAGGGAAAGGGAGUGGAGAUAAGUCCACAAAAAUUUGGAAAUUUUUUCAACAAUUUCAUAAAGCCUUGCAAGUGGAAUUUGGUUGUUGUGAAUCAUAAAACCAUGCAUGUGGUGUGUAAGGUGUGUAAGUCUUACACACCCAUCACAAUUUCUAUCACCUUUCAAAAAAAAAAAUGUUUUGGUGAUAGAAAAUUCACAUCAACCAACACAAAACAAAGACUUUAUGAAAUUAACCAAAACUUUGAAUCAAAACACGUUCUUGGCAAAAAUGUCAAGAACAAUGAAGAACACUCAUGAAAAAACUCAAAAUUU